UACGUAGGGGGCAAGCGUUGUCCGGAAUCAUUGGGCGUAAAGAGCGUGUAGGCGGCCCGGUAAGUCGGCUGUGAAAGUCAGGGGCUCAACCCUUGAAAGCCGGCCGAUACUGUCGGGCUAGAGUCCGGAAGAGGCGAGUGGAAUUCCUGGUGUAGCGGUGAAAUGCGCAGAUAUCAGGAGGAACACCAAUGGCGAAGGCAGCUCGCUGGGACGGUACUGACGCUGAGACGCGAAAGCGUGGGGAGCAAACA
Molecule: ribosomal RNA, 251 nt
Filed under: uncultured prokaryote
Description: partial 16S ribosomal RNA
Rfam family: Bacterial small subunit ribosomal RNA
Source: RNAcentral